RNAcentral lists this transfer RNA (89 nucleotides) under Bacteroidales bacterium. RNAcentral's name for it is "tRNA-Ser". It matches the Rfam family "tRNA". Rfam says of the family: Transfer RNA (tRNA) molecules are approximately 80 nucleotides in length. Their secondary structure includes four short double-helical elements and three loops (D, anti-codon, and T loops). Further hydrogen bonds mediate the characteristic L-shaped molecular structure. tRNAs have two regions of fundamental functional importance: the anti-codon, which is responsible for specific mRNA codon recognition, and the 3' end, to which the tRNAs corresponding amino acid is attached (by aminoacyl-tRNA synthetases). tRNAs cope with the degeneracy of the genetic code in two manners: having more than one tRNA (with a specific anti-codon) for a particular amino acid; and 'wobble' base-pairing, i.e. permitting non-standard base-pairing at the 3rd anti-codon position. The record is from RNAcentral. Lineage: Bacteria; Pseudomonadati; Bacteroidota; Bacteroidia; Bacteroidales.
GGAGAGGUGUCCGAGUUGGCCGAAGGAGCACGCCUGGAAAGUGUGUAAGCGACAAAAUCGCUUCCAGGGUUCGAAUCCCUGUCUCUCCG